Molecule: non-coding RNA, 215 nt
Filed under: Bacillus sp. (in: firmicutes)
Lineage: Bacteria; Bacillati; Bacillota; Bacilli; Caryophanales; Bacillaceae
Description: Bacillus sp. T-box sequence
Rfam family: T-box leader
About the family: Uncharged tRNA acts as the effector for transcription antitermination of genes in the T-box leader family.
Source: RNAcentral
GACAAUGCGUUGAUAGGGAAUAGUAUAUAAGAUGGUCACUUCAGAGAGCUGACGGUAGGUGCGAGUCAGUGUAGCCUUUUAUAGAAUCCACCCUUGAGUGAAUGGUGAGGCGUGAGCUUAAAUCGUUCCGGUUAGAUACCCGUUAUGUAUCUAGAGUGGUCUAUAUGUUUCAUAUAGGCAACAAGGGUGGUAUCGCGGGUGCUCUCGUCCCUUCU